Molecule: ribosomal RNA, 503 nt
Filed under: uncultured bacterium
Lineage: Bacteria
Description: partial 16S ribosomal RNA
Rfam family: Bacterial small subunit ribosomal RNA
Source: RNAcentral
AUUGAACGCUGGCGGCAGGCUUAACACAUGCAAGUCGAGCGGGGUGAUGGUGCUUGCACUAUCACUUAGCGGCGGACGGGUGAGUAAUGCUUAGGAAUCUGCCUAUUAGUGGGGGACAACAUCUCGAAAGGGAUGCUAAUACCGCAUACGUCCUACGGGAGAAAGCAGGGGAUCACUUGUGACCUUGUGCUAAUAGAUGAGACUAAGUCGGAUUAGCUAGUUGGUGGGGUAAAGGCCUACCAAGGCGACGAUCUGUAGCGGGUCUGAGAGGAUGAUCCGCCACGCUGGGACUGAGACACGGCCCAGACUCCUACGGGAGGCAGCAGUGGGGAAUAUUGGACAAUGGGGGGAACCCUGAUCCAGCCAUGCCGCGUGUGUGAAGAAGGCCUUAUGGUUGUAAAGCACUUUAAGCGAGGAGGAGGCUCUUUUGGUUAAUACCCAAGAUGAGUGGACGUUACUCGCAGAAUAAGCACCGGCUAACUCUGUGCCAGCCGCCGCAGUAA